This 686-nucleotide long non-coding RNA is filed under the name Gallus gallus (chicken). Lineage: Eukaryota; Metazoa; Chordata; Aves; Galliformes; Phasianidae. The record is from RNAcentral.
AAGAUGUUGAAAGCAGUGGACUGGGAUCCAGGGGAUGUAGAUUAAAUUCCUUGUCUCUGCUGCAAACUUCCUGUGUGGCCUGGAGCAAACUGCAGCACUUGGUCUGCGUUUUAGUUUCAGACACGUGUGUGGGGUGCAGCUAAUGAGCCCUUUCUCCUGCCCUUUGUCUCCUUACUCUUCUUAGAGAUGUUCUUUAGAGAAGGUCUGCAGAGAUUCUCUGGGGCACAUGGAAGUUUCAACGGGAGGCCCAAAACGCAGUAAGGUGUGUUUCUUUAGUGAAGAGAAGCUAGAGAACUUAAUCUCAUAUCACAGAGCAGAUUGCUGAUGCACAAAGAGGAAAACAUCUCAGCCAGAAAAACUUCCUAGGCCAUGGCAGUAAAAUGGACAGAGAAGAGAGUCACCAGAAAGGAAGCGAGGAAACCAGAAACAAGACCACUGACACUUUGUUUCAUCCAAGGAAGUGGCAAAUCCUUUGACCUCCAAAAGGCAAACACCACCAGGAACUGCUCAGGGAACUUAGAAAGCUCAGCCUUCAAUCAAAUUGGCUUGAAACUGGCUAACUGAUUCAGAAGUUACUGGGAAGACACAAAGGUACACAAGUACAGUGUGAUAAUACAACCUCUGCUUGUUAUCAAAGCCAGGCUAAAAGAUAGUCUGAUUACUCCAAAGAAGAUAACAGAAACUGU